AGAUAAUAGAUACCCGGGUAGUCCUGGCCUUAAACGAUGGAUGCUUGGUGUCUGGAGUUUUAUAGUCUCCGGGUGCCGUAGCUAAACGCGUUAAGCAUCCCGCCUGGGGAGUACGGUCGCAAGACUGAAACUCAAAGGAAUUGACGGGGACCCGCACAAGCGGUGGAGCAUGUGGUUCAAUUCGACGCAACGCGAAGAACCUUACCUGGGCUAGAAUGCCUCUGACAACCCUAGAGAUAGGGCUUCCUAGGGAAACCUAGGCAGAGUGCAAGGUGCUGCAUGGCUGUCGUCAGCUCGUGCCGUGAGAUGUUGGGUUAAGUCCCGCAACGAGCGCAACCCUUAUCGAUAGUUGCUAGCGGUUCGGCCGAGCACUCUAUUGAGACUGCCGUUGACAAAACCGGAGGAAGGUGGGGAUGACGUCAAGUCCUCAUGGCCUUUAUGUCCAGGGCUACACACGUGCUACAAUGGCAAGUACAAAGCGCUGCAAACCUCGCGAGAGGGGAGCCAAUCGCAAAAACGCUUGUCUCA
This 528-nucleotide ribosomal RNA is filed under the name uncultured bacterium. RNAcentral describes it as "bacterial SSU rRNA". It matches the Rfam family "Bacterial small subunit ribosomal RNA", at positions 775 to 1290 of the family's 1533-position model. The record is from RNAcentral.